UACCGCAUACGUCCUACCGGGAGAAAAGACGGGCCUCUACACUAUGCUCGCACUCGAGGAUGAGCCCACGUCCGAUUAGCUAGUUGGUAGGGUAACGGCCUACCAAGGCCACGAUCGGUAGCUGGUCUGAGAGGAUGAUCAGCCACACUGGGACUGAGACACGGCCCAGACUCCUACGGGAGGCAGCAGUGGGGAAUAUGGGACAAUGGGCGCAAGCCUGAUCCAGCAAUGCCGCGUGUGUGAAGAAGGCCUGCGGGUUGUAAAGCACUUUCAGUGGGGAAGAACGGAUACGGGCCAAUACCCCGCAUCACUGACGUUACCCACAGAAGAAGCACCGGCUAACUCCGUG
Molecule: ribosomal RNA, 349 nt
Filed under: uncultured bacterium
Lineage: Bacteria
Description: bacterial SSU rRNA
Rfam family: Bacterial small subunit ribosomal RNA
Source: RNAcentral